This 545-nucleotide long non-coding RNA is filed under the name Homo sapiens (human). RNAcentral describes it as "non-protein coding LRRC75A-AS1:8". The stretch from base 138 to 211 matches the Rfam family "Small nucleolar RNA SNORD49". Lineage: Eukaryota; Metazoa; Chordata; Mammalia; Primates; Hominidae. The record is from RNAcentral.
GGAUUGGGAUAUUCCGACUCCUUAAGGGCCUGGCGCACAUAAGGUGUGACCUUUUCAUUCCCGUUGUUAUGGAGGGCCACAUCUGCCAGAGCCUGGAGUCUGCGAAGGCCGGGACCCGGUUCCCCGGCCCACAGUGGGGGUGUGCAAACCCGAGAGAACUGGGAAGUGCCGUCAGAAGCGAUAACUGACGACGUCUAAUGUCUAUCUGACCGCAGUCGCUGAAACCUCUACAACUUAGUUGACCGUAACUGCCAGAGCCCUGCCCUGAAUUCCUGUCCUUACUCCCUCUUUAAGAUUGCGUACCCACUGCAGAGUGCUGAAGACGGGGUAGCCACGAGGUUGCAAAUUCGUGAAGAAUCAGCAUCAUGUUUGGCAGCUGAGUAUUGGAGCCAGGAGCCUGCCAUGAGGUUUUGAGAACAGAGUGCUGUUUUAGAGCUGGCAGCAGCAUCUCAGCCCAAGAGAAGGUAAGCCUUGAGCUGGCCAAUGAUCCCUUCAACCCCAUAGUGGAAUGAAUAAACAGCUGAUCUUGUUAAAACUCGCUUCAA